This 440-nucleotide ribosomal RNA is filed under the name uncultured bacterium. Its description in RNAcentral is "bacterial SSU rRNA". It matches the Rfam family "Bacterial small subunit ribosomal RNA", at positions 338 to 795 of the family's 1533-position model. The record is from RNAcentral.
CCUANGGGUGGCUGCAGUCGGGAAUUUUGCGCAAUGGGCGAAAGCCUGACGCAGCAACGCCGCGUGAGGGAUGAAGGCCUUCGGGUUGUAAACCUCUUUUCUCAGGGAAGAUAAUGACGGUACCUGAGGAAUAAGUCACGGCUAACUACGUGCCAGCAGCCGCGGUAAUACGUAGGUGGCAAGCGUUGUCCGGAUUUACUGGGCGUAAAGAGCGCGCAGGCGGUCGUUCAAGUCGAGUGUGAAAGCCCCCGGCUCAACUGGGGAGGGUCAUUCGAUACUGAUCGACUCGAAGGCAGGAGAGGGAAGCGGAAUUCCCGGUGUAGUGGUGAAAUGCGUAGAUAUCGGGAGGAACACCAGUGGCGAAGGCGGCUUUCUGGCCUGUUCUUGACGCUGAGGCGCGAAAGCUAGGGUAGCAAACGGGAUUAGAUACCCCUNUANUC